Long non-coding RNA from Lates calcarifer (barramundi perch), 607 nucleotides. RefSeq lists it as uncharacterized. The transcript has 5 exons. Lineage: Eukaryota; Metazoa; Chordata; Actinopteri; Centropomidae. The record is from RefSeq and is a predicted model, not a curated record.
UCUGUUUGCCAGUACUGUGAGAAAACGUCGUUACCGAAGGGGUCUGGAUGCUAAAACAAACCAUGAAGACGCCUUUUGUCGUUAAUUAAGAGGUCUGGAUGCUAAAACAAACUCUGGAGCUGCUUUUUUGUCGAACACGGGUGAGACUAGACGCUGAACACACCUACGGCGUUAAGGUUUACUGGUUCAGCUGCUGCAGCAUGGACAGAAACACCAGCUCUCACCUUACAAACCAAACAGGUGUCACCACUUUGUCCAUGAUCACAGAGUGUCUUCAUACAAUUAAGUAGUUCUGUGAAACCAGGACUGAGGCCUCCAGGAUUCAAACUUAAACCAUUAAACCACAGAGAGAAGAGACAGAUGUGAAGACAUUUCCAGAAGGUCUUCAGCUGCUGCCGUCUCCUCCUGCAGAAACAAGAAUACCCAACAUGUGACUUACGACACAUCUUAAAGUGGCUGUCUUACCUCUGUUUUCCACAGACACACACAUUUAUAUAGUGCAAUAUCAGUGCCCUUUUUUUUAUUUUUGCUGUUUUAACACUGAAUUUCCCUGUUAUGACACUGAUAAAGUAUUAUCUUACUCAAAUAAAUGCUUCUGAAAACAGAA